Molecule: small nucleolar RNA, 366 nt
Organism: Haplochromis burtoni (Burton's mouthbrooder)
Lineage: Eukaryota; Metazoa; Chordata; Actinopteri; Cichliformes; Cichlidae
Source: RefSeq, a predicted model, not a curated record
GCCCUGUGAUGAGACCAAGGCGAAUACGAGCUUACUGAAUGAGAGUUGGGUUUCUCUUGCCUUGACUGGCAGGUAAUCUUGGCAGUGCAGAGGAGGAUUCCUGCUCUGCUGUAAGGGCCUGCCUACAGUGACUUGGCUCGACCCAAAUUAUUCCUCUGCAGUCACAGUGGAGUAAUUUCUGGGUUGUCGCUGACAGCGUGUCUUAUGGUUGUGCGUGUGCCUGCCCCCCCCCUUGCUCUCCCCGCUCCCCCGUGUCUGCCUCACGUGCUCCUGCCAGCCCUGCUCAGUUAAAAAAGGCAAGAAGUUCACCCAGCUUUCUUUACUGUUCAGUGAGCCAUGAGUUUUGUCUUUGGUAAUCUGAGGGCA